GCUCGUGGAUCGAUGAAGACCGCAGCUAAAUGCGCGUCAGAAUGUGAACUGCAGGACACAUGAACACCGACAAGUUGAACGCAUAUUGCACAUCGUACAACACCGUACGAUGUACACAUUUUUGAGUGCCUAUAUUUAUCUAUUCAACUAUACGUGUGCCACCCACCCGGUGCGCGCGUAUGCGUAGUGAUGUUUGCCCGCCUUCGGUGGCGGUUUAAGAUAGUCAAGCGUGCGACGGUCAUAGUUGCGCGAUUGAUGAAUACAUCCCACCAGACGUCCGCAUCCCGUGGCGCUAGUGUUGUAUUCCAUCAGAGGGAGAGAGAGAGACAGUAUAGCAUAUCUAGUAGGCCUCAAAUAAUGUGUGACUACCCCCUAAAUUUAAGCA
This 385-nucleotide ribosomal RNA is filed under the name Aedes alternans. RNAcentral describes it as "eukaryotic LSU rRNA". The stretch from base 1 to 131 matches the Rfam family "5.8S ribosomal RNA", at positions 24 to 154 of the family's 154-position model. The record is from RNAcentral. Lineage: Eukaryota; Metazoa; Arthropoda; Insecta; Diptera; Culicidae.